Molecule: long non-coding RNA, 263 nt
Filed under: Phoenix dactylifera (date palm)
Lineage: Eukaryota; Viridiplantae; Streptophyta; Magnoliopsida; Arecales; Arecaceae
Description: long non-coding RNA (PDAC_LNC009335)
Source: RNAcentral
UCUUGCAGUUGAAAUGCCACAAUAUCAGCCCAAGACCAAGAACUGAUUGCCCUGACACCGUCGCCGCGAUCAACAGUGUUUAAGAAAGGCCAAUCAGCACUACUAUGUUUUGAUGGGAGAAGACUGUAACAUGUUGAAGUGCACAAUGAAAAAGAUGACCAUCCUUCUGACUAUCCUGAUUACUAAUGAUCUCAAUCAGAAGUUACAUAUUAAAACAAGCAUACAGUGAUCCUUUCUAUGAACUUAUAGAGCAUUACUUUUUU